This is a non-coding RNA of Podarcis lilfordi (Lilford's wall lizard), 66 nucleotides long. NCBI's taxonomy places the organism in Eukaryota, Metazoa, Chordata, Lepidosauria, Squamata, Lacertidae. The record is from the annotation of a GenBank genome assembly.
GCAGCUCUGAGGUAGAGCAUCUGCCUUAGAUGCAUAAGGUCCUAUGUUCAAUCUCUGAGAUCAGCA